Molecule: long non-coding RNA, 200 nt
Filed under: Cricetulus griseus (Chinese hamster)
Lineage: Eukaryota; Metazoa; Chordata; Mammalia; Rodentia; Cricetidae
Description: lncRNA (ENSCGRG00000024471.1)
Source: RNAcentral
AUGCUGUGCUCUAACUUGCUCACAUAGUCUCUGCUGCUCUAGAGCUGAUUGUACCCGGGCCACUCCUCUUUGCUGGCAACGUAGGAGGAUCAUCUAGUCAGACUUGAUCGUCUCCAAGUGCCCUGUGCUUUUCUUCAAGUUCCAUUGUCACUGAAGUUGAGGGAGUUGAAAUGUCUUCGAAUUUAUACAAUAACUUCUAG